This 464-nucleotide ribosomal RNA is filed under the name uncultured bacterium. Its description in RNAcentral is "partial 16S ribosomal RNA". It matches the Rfam family "Bacterial small subunit ribosomal RNA", at positions 28 to 507 of the family's 1533-position model. The record is from RNAcentral.
GACGAACGCUGGCGGCGUGCUUAACACAUGCAAGUCGAACGAUGAGGCCAGGUUGCUGGUGGACUAGUGGCGAACGGGUGAGUAACACGUGGGUGAUCUGCCCCAAACUUUGGGAUAAGCCUGGGAAACUGGGUCUAAUACCGAAUAUGACCGAUACUCGCAUGGGUGUUGGUGGAAAGCUCCGGCGGUUGGGGAUGGGCCCGCGGCCUAUCAGCUUGUUGGUGGGGUAAUGGCCUACCAAGGCGACGACGGGUAGCCGGCCUGAGAGGGCGACCGGCCACACUGGGACUGAGACACGGCCCAGACUCCUACGGGAGGCAGCAGUGGGGAAUAUUGCACAAUGGGCGCAAGCCUGAUGCAGCGACGCCGCGUGAGGGAUGACGGCCUUCGGGUUGUAAACCUCUUUCACCAGGGACGAAGCGAAAGUGACGGUACCUGGAGAAGAAGCACCGGCCAACUACGUG